Molecule: long non-coding RNA, 1658 nt
Organism: Petromyzon marinus (sea lamprey)
Lineage: Eukaryota; Metazoa; Chordata; Hyperoartia; Petromyzontiformes; Petromyzontidae
Source: RefSeq, a predicted model, not a curated record
GGGACGACUUCCUCAGCGUCAGCAGCAAUCAGGGAUAAGGCGAAGGAUGCAGAUUGAGCGGUGACAACAACACAGUUUGUCAUCCUUCUCCCGGACCUCCGACUAGCACGCUACUCAGCAAGGAAUGGACUGUGUGUGUUUCCCGGGCUGCCGAACACGAGAUUGAAGCUUCGAGAACAGCAUGCGUCGCAGUACGGAAUCGCACCGCGUGAUUUUGCACCGUCUAUCACUCUCGUAGGUUGCCCUUUAUUUAAGUGGGAAAUAAUCAUCGAUGUCCCAAGAUGUAAUGCAAGAUCCAACGUGGAACGUUUUGGGUACAACGUUGGGCCAACGUUCAUCCAACGGUUACAACCGCAUGCCAACGUGCGCCCAACGUUGGUGUCUUUACCGAGUGAUGUUUGUUGUUUGGGAUGUUUUUGCCAAUUCACAAAAAUCUGACUACGGUAGUCUGGUGCAGGGUUUCCUAUCGGCACAGGAAUAGUAAUCCAGAUUUUUCGAAUGUUAUUGAUUCGAAUAGUUUGAAAAUAGUUUUUAUCGUUUUCUCAAGCAGAAUUGUUUCCUUGUAGCUGCCACGAGUGGCGUCUUUCCAACGGUGUCCACAUUGUAACUGUGAUUGGAUAGAAUCAGUCACAUGUAGCUUAUUUCACGGUAACGUACUGAUUGUGACUGAUCGUGAUUGGAUAAUUCAGUCUGUCACUUAUACCAUUCACCCUUAUACAGCAGAAAUUUCUCCACAACUCUAGCUGUUGCCUGAUGAUGCUAGUCGUGAUUUUUUUGGCGAAACGUCGUACUCGAAUUGUACAUUUUGUGGGUUUACUCUCCAUAACACCGGUUUGCUGUACUAGUAACAAAUUGGAAUGUUUUGCUUUUUGACAAACCUUACUUGGCGAUCUAACCCCAAAAAACGUAUAUUAUGAACCCAAAUAUAUUAUCAUUAUUGUGUAAUUAGCGCACGAUUCGCAAAAAUAUAAUAAUCGAUAGUUGUGUUCGUGAGCGUAAACAUCGAUGCGAAUCCAUAAAUAAAUAAAUCAUUACACUCUAAGCCUAUUGCUGCUACAAAUUACUUGCUAUACUGCCACUUAAGGCCACUUUUAUAUUAUGAUUUUUUUCCCAGCAUUAUUUAUACACUUGCUUUAGUGAUGCUGCUGUUGUUGUUGCAUUGUUAACAAACAGACAAAAACUCAACACAUUUGUCAAUAACACAGUAGUCUAACAACGCAAAUGCCCUUCAUAGCACGCAGAUCAUUCAUAUGAAAUGAAGAAGGGCUAUUGCCCGAAACGUCGCCAAUUAUAUAUAUAUUUUUACAUUUUAAGACAAUGCUAUUGACGAAUGCAUUUUUUUGUAAACAUACAUUACUUCAUGAUAAUAAUAAUAACAGCGAAACAUAAUAACGACCAGUUGCAUGUGAAACUUAUUAUAUCGUCUCUUGAUUGGCCGACACUCGCAGGGGCCUUUCAGGGAAUCCCCGUACAUACAACGGUCGGGCCGGGUCUCCCAGCCAAUCAGAGGGCUCCGCGUGGCCUUCAAUACAUUUCAAAAGAUUAACCCGGGAGAAUCCACCCUCCCCCUCUCCCUUCCCCCGUGUGCGCUGUUGCAAAUGAGGAGACAUUUAAAAAGAAAUAAAAGCUGAAAGAGAUUAAAUAAAAGGCGUGGUCUU